RNAcentral lists this ribosomal RNA (446 nucleotides) under uncultured bacterium. RNAcentral's name for it is "bacterial SSU rRNA". It matches the Rfam family "Bacterial small subunit ribosomal RNA", at positions 329 to 792 of the family's 1533-position model. The record is from RNAcentral.
GGCCAGACUCCUACGGGAGGCAGCAGUGGGGAAUAUUGCACAAUGGGGGAAACCCUGAUGCAGCGACGCCGCGUGAGUGAAGAAGUAUUUCGGUAUGUAAAGCUCUAUCAGCAGGGAAGAAAAUGACGGUACCUGACUAAGAAGCCCCGGCUAACUACGUGCCAGCAGCCGCGGUAAUACGUAGGGGGCAAGCGUUAUCCGGAUUUACUGGGUGUAAAGGGAGCGUAGACGGCAUGGCAAGUCAGAUGUGAAAGCCCGGGGCUCAACCCCGGGACUGCAUUUGAAACUGUCAGGCUGGAGUGCAGGAGAGGUAAGUGGAAUUCCUAGUGUAGCGGUGAAAUGCGUAGAUAUUAGGAGGAACACCAGUGGCGAAGGCGGCUUACUGGACUGUAACUGACGUUGAGGCUCGAAAGCGUGGGGAGCAAACAGGAUUAGAUACCCUAGUA